GGCCUCGUAGCUCAGUUGGCUAGAGCGUUGACUGUACUAAAGCCUUCCCCUUGCUGUUUUGGGUUCAAAUCCCACCGAGGCGG
RNAcentral lists this transfer RNA (83 nucleotides) under Schistocephalus solidus. It matches the Rfam family "tRNA". Rfam says of the family: Transfer RNA (tRNA) molecules are approximately 80 nucleotides in length. Their secondary structure includes four short double-helical elements and three loops (D, anti-codon, and T loops). Lineage: Eukaryota; Metazoa; Platyhelminthes; Cestoda; Diphyllobothriidea; Diphyllobothriidae. The record is from Rfam by way of RNAcentral.